UGACCUUCGGUCAGGUAGGAAUACCCGCUGAACAUAAGCAUAUCA
RNAcentral lists this ribosomal RNA (45 nucleotides) under Sirastachys phaeospora. Its description in RNAcentral is "partial 28S ribosomal RNA". Lineage: Eukaryota; Fungi; Ascomycota; Sordariomycetes; Hypocreales; Stachybotryaceae. The record is from RNAcentral.